This 495-nucleotide ribosomal RNA is filed under the name Triticum aestivum (bread wheat). RNAcentral's name for it is "partial small subunit ribosomal RNA". Lineage: Eukaryota; Viridiplantae; Streptophyta; Magnoliopsida; Poales; Poaceae. The record is from RNAcentral.
AUGGUCAUCAUCGUGGUGUUCGUCUCCCUAGGCGGGCUCCUCCUGCUUGCAUGCCUAGCUGCCUUCUGCUUGCACAAGAAAAAGAAGAGGAAGACAGAAAGGAAGGCAGAGGUACUGAACUUCAGCGACCAUGUCCAUGUCCACAAAUCGGCCAUGUCAGGCCCUGGGGGAUCCAAGGCCGUCAGGCUGACAGUUGACGAGGACGUCAAGUUCCAAGAGGUGGUUAAGGAAUCAGAGGCCGUCGGCAAAGAGUCGGGCACAGCCACAGCAGGAAACCACAACGCUUGGAUGUGGAACAAGAAACAGAAGAGCAAAGCAAAGCAGGAUUCAGAGGUCAUCAACGUCACCGGACACAUCCAUGCUGAUGAGAAGAUCGAGUCAGGGCCCCACGGCGAGAAGAUUGAGGUCCUUUCAGAAGAUGAAGAUAUCAGGUUUGAAGAGGCAGACAACAAAGAAUCGUCUGCAAAAUCAAAGGCACGCAUUACCAAGUUCUAA